UGGACGGAAGUCUGACGGAGCGACGCCGCGUGGAUGAAGAAGGCUGAAAAGUUGUAAAAUCCUUUGUUGAUGAAGAAUAAGGGUGAGAGGGAAUGCUCAUCUGAUGACGGUAAUCGACGAAUAAGCCCCGGCUAAUUACGUGCAAGCAGCCGCGGUAAU
RNAcentral lists this ribosomal RNA (159 nucleotides) under uncultured Treponema sp. Its description in RNAcentral is "partial 16S ribosomal RNA". It matches the Rfam family "Bacterial small subunit ribosomal RNA", at positions 372 to 524 of the family's 1533-position model. The record is from RNAcentral. Lineage: Bacteria; Pseudomonadati; Spirochaetota; Spirochaetia; Treponematales; Treponemataceae.